Molecule: ribosomal RNA, 253 nt
Filed under: uncultured bacterium
Lineage: Bacteria
Description: partial 16S ribosomal RNA
Rfam family: Bacterial small subunit ribosomal RNA
Source: RNAcentral
UACGAAGGGGGCUAGCGUUGCUCGGAAUCACUGGGCGUAAAGCGCACGUAGGCGGGUCUUUAAGUCAGGGGUGAAAUCCUGGAGCUCAACUCCAGAACUGCCUUUGAUACUGAGGAUCUCGAGUCCGGGAGAGGUGAGUGGAACUCCGAGUGUAGAGGUGAAAUUCGUAGAUAUUCGGAAGAACACCAGUGGCGAAGGCGACUUACUGGACACAUAUUGACGCUGAGGUGCGAAAGCGUGGGGAGCAAACAGG